CUUACACAUGCAAGUCGAGCGGAAGGCCCUUCGGGGUACUCGAGCGGCGAACGGGUGAGUAACACGUGAGCAACCUGCCCUAGGCUUUGGGAUAACCCUCGGAAACGGGGGCUAAUACCGAAUAUUACUUGGUCUCGCAUGAGGUUGGGUGGAAAGUUUUUCGGCCUAGGAUGGGCUCGCGGCCUAUCAGCUUGUUGGUGGGGUAAUGGCCUACCAAGGCGACGACGGGUAGCCGGCCUGAGAGGGCGACCGGCCACACUGGGACUGAGACACGGCCCAGACUCCUACGGGAGGCAGCAGUGGGGAAUAUUGCACAAUGGGCGGAAGCCUGAUGCAGCGACGCCGCGUGAGGGAUGACGGCCUUCGGGUUGUAAACCUCUUUCAGCAGGGACGAAGCGAGAGUGACGGUACCUGCAGAAGAAGCACCGGCCAACUACGUGCCAGCAGCCGCGGUAAGACGUAGGGUGCGAGCGUUGUCCGGAUUUAUUGGGCGUAAAGAGCUCGUAGGCGGCUUGUCGCGUCGACCGUGAAAACUUGGGGCUCAACUCCAAGCCUGCGGUCGAUACGGGCAGGCUAGAGUUCGGUAGGGGAGACUGGAAUUCCUGGUGUAGCGGUGAAAUGCGCAGAUAUCAGGAGGAACACCGGUGGCGAAGGCGGGUCUCUGGGCCGAUACUGACGCUGAGGAGCGAAAGCGUGGGGAGCGACAGAUAG
Molecule: ribosomal RNA, 711 nt
Filed under: Micromonospora sp. 2.2.5-05
Lineage: Bacteria; Bacillati; Actinomycetota; Actinomycetes; Micromonosporales; Micromonosporaceae
Description: bacterial SSU rRNA
Rfam family: Bacterial small subunit ribosomal RNA
Source: RNAcentral